UGAAGCCCCUUCUUCAAUGGAAGUAGAAAAGGUUAUAGAUGAAACAUCUUUGCCGACGAAGCCAAAGUUUGAGCCUUUGAAGGCUCAUGAGAUGUCUGAUGGUCGAGUUCAAUUUAGGAAGGUUUCGGUUCCACCACAUAGGUAUUCACCUCUCAAGAAAGCGUGGAUGGAUAUUUAGACUCCUAUAUAUGAGCAAAUGAAGAUUGAUAUCCGUAUGAACCUCAAGGGUAGAAAGGUUGAAUUAAAAUAUUAGGAUCUUUUCAAAACAUUAAAAUUGCUAGAGAUUCUCUGUGCAGCCUCAUUUUAGGGUCUCCUGCUGGAAAGGUAUACUCGAAGCUUAAACAAGUUACUGCCAAAUUGGCUGAGAGGUUCUGAUAAUUGUAUUUGUCAUUAUAGCUCCAUUUGAGAUUUGAUGUGCUGAAUUUUUGUGAUUUUAAUUGUCAUUUGCAUUUUUGUCUUGGUGGCCUUGUUGCCACUUGCUGAAACGAUUCAUUAUAAAGAAUAUCAAUGCAUCUGUUGUUUUCUGUUGCAAUUAGAAUUGAUAAUGCUUUCGAUUCAGCGUCUUUUGUUUCAAUUGUUGCUUCCAUUACUACUACUCCUACUCUGAUUACACUAAGGCCAUGUUUGGUAUGAUGUAGUCAACCAUAUAAUGGAAUGAGGAUUACAUUACAUGACUGGUUACAUUGUUUGGUUAGAUUUGUUCUGAAUAAUGUAAUGUAAUUGAGAUUACAUGUGUAAUUUUCAUUAUUUAAUUUGAUGUAAUAUUAAUUACAUUAAAAAACACAUGUAUUGUCCAUUACAUCAAGUACAUGUAAUACCAAUUACAUCAAAGUUACUCCAAUAAAAACUUUACCAUUCAAGGACCACCAUCACCACUAUCGCUCCACCACCAUCACCACAACACCACCACUACAAUCAUUGUUUAACCACUACUCCACCAUCACCACCACCACUCCACCACCACCAUUGCGCCACAACUCUCACCACCCUCACCACCACUAUUGCUCGACCACCACCAUCACUACCACCGUUCCACCACUUCUACCACCAUCAUUGCUCCACCACCUUAACCAUCACCUCCACCACCGUGCCAUUGCCACCACCACCACCGCACCAUCACCCACAUCGUUGCCUCAACCACCAUCGCUACUCCACCACCGCAACCACCAUUACUCCACCUCAGUCACCACCACUCUCACCACCAUCGUUGCUCCACCACAUCACCACCAUCUCACCAUCGCUCCACCACCAUCACCAUUGCUCCACCACCUCCAUCUCAACUACCACCUCCACCUCAACCACCAAUCACGCCACCAUCAACACUCCACCCCCACCACCACCGCUCUAUCACCUCAACCACCAUCGCUCCUCCACAUCAACCACCACCAUUGCUCCAUCACAUCACCACCUUAACCACCACCAUCGGUUCACCACCAUCAUCACUGCUCCACUGCCUCUACCUCAGCCACCUCCACCACCUUAACCACCAUCACCACCACCACAACCAUCACUUCGCACGCCACCACCUCAAUCACUCUACCACCACAACCACUACAUAAUAAAAAUUAUAUUUUUGUGUUUAAUAUGCAACACAAGAUAAAAUUAUAUUUUAUUAUUUUAUUUUAUUAUAGGAAUGAACAGAAUAAAAUGAAAAAUCACUAAAAACAUCAAAAUACCCAAAAUUUUAUAUUGUAAUUUAAUUUACUCAAUGAAAAUAUAUGAAAAAAGUUAAUUUUUAAUGACUUAAUUAACUUUUAUUUUGUUACAUUACAUUCGGGGUGAGCAAAUUCGGUCGAUUUGAUUAAAUUGAUUAGUAAGGUCAAUUCAGUUACUUCGAUUAGUUCAAUUAAUUCAGUCAAUUUGAUUCGAUGAAUAAACGUUCGGUCAAAAGUUCGAUUAAAGAAAAUUAAAAUUCUGGUGAUCGGUUAAAAAUUAAUUUAACCAAAUUAAUCAACUCUCAAAACUACGUCGUCUUGGUUAAGUAGAUAAUAAAAUUCAAAAUUAAAAAUAUUUCAGUUUUUAUUUUGAUUAAGUAGUAAUUAAUAACUUCGGUUAAUUUUUAUUUCGGUUAGAGUCGGUUAAUUAUAUAUUUCAAUUAAAUCCGGUCGGCUAAUUAAGUUUUUAUUUUCUUUAACUUUGGUUCUCAGCCAAAUAAUUUGGUUAAGUUCGGUUAAAAAAAUUAAUUUGGUUAAGUAAAACAAAUUUGAUUAAUUUAUUUCGGUUAAAAAUUUUACUCAAAUUGACCGAAUUGACCAAAUGAUCAUUCCUAAAUUACAUUUUUUUCGGCUUACCUUCUUUUUAUUUUUUUUUUUCAAAUAAAUUUAUGAAUCUAAAUAAUCUUUAAUAGCUUAAUAUAAUGAAUAGUUUUUAAUUCAGAUAUUUUUUUUUAUUUUAAUAAUGACGUAGUGGAGUGGUGUUUGAGGUGGUGGUGGUAUGGUGGUUGUGGUGGUGGUAGUGGUGAUUGGUGGUUAUGAUGGUGGUGGUGGGGGCGGUGUGAUUGGUGGGAGUAGUGUUUUAAUUACAUCACAUUAUAUAUUUACAAACAACAUAAAAAUAGAAUGGUGAUUAUAUUCCAUAAAUUUUAUCUAUUAUAUUACCAAACAUAGUAAUGAAAUCUUAAUUCAAUAUGUUUUUUUUAUAUUCCAUUCUAUUAUAUUUUUUAUGGCAUUAUAUCUUUGAUUAUAUUACAUUGCAUUAUACCAACCAAACAUAGCCUCUGAAUAGAUUAAAAUAUGCAUUGUGUUUUACCUAAUAUAUCCUCAUAUUUAUGAAUUCAGCCUAUUUUGGCAUUUUUUUUUUUAUUUUUCAUAGGACAAUACUCUUUGUUCUCUCAAAAAUUUUAAUCUAGAUAUAAUCCUCAUUUACAUCUUUUGACUAAUAAUUUCAAUUUAUGGAAAUUUCUUUCUUCAUUAGGUAUUGGAAUUCUUUUUACAAAUCUCAUGUUGUUUCCUGCAAUUUUAAAUAUAUAAUUUUAAAAUAUGGAUGUUGACGUGACAAAUGUAACAUUUUAUCUUUUUCUUAUUACAAUUAAUCUUUUUUUAAAAAAAUUUAAUAAGCAUUAAGUUUUUUUCAUUAAAUAAUGAGUUACAAAAUAAUGAAAUCUAAUGGAGUUAUAAUGGAUUCCAUUAUAAUUGAUAUUUUGUUUUGCAUUUAAUAAACAUUAAAUUUUUUUUAAUAAAUAAUAGAAUCAUAAAACUAAUGGAUCAAUAUAAUGGAGUUAUAAUUAAUAAACAUUAAUUAAAUAAUUAAGUUACUGUAAUAUUAUUGUGAACUGGUAUAAUUAAAAUAUAAUUUCAAUUCACUAAAAUUUAUUGGAUUGUAAUUAAAUCUUCUUAUGCCUUAUUUAAUUAUAGAAAAUUAAUAAAUAUUUCAUUUAAAUAUAUGAAAAUUCUAAAGGGAAAAUAAAUAAUUAUAUCAGUUGAAUUACAUAAGAACCAUGUAAUUUCACCUUUCAUCAUUUAAUCAAUUAUAUUAGCAAAUCAUUUAAAUUAAAGCAACAUAAAUAUAAAUCGUAAUAAUUUUCUUAAUAAUUAUCUAUUCAAAUCAAUUAAAAAAAUAUAAAAUUACAAGAUCCGUCCAUGGCGAGUACAUGACUAGUUGGGAUUAUAUAUAUCUGUUGUACAUAAAAGCUAUAUUUUGGUUGCAUAGAGAACAAAUGUCAUGAAUCUCCUAAAAAUUGACUUAAUUAUCACAGAUAAAUUAAAAAGAAGAAUUAAGAAGUACCAGUAAAAAUCUUUCCAAACAUUAUUUACAUGUAAAAUAUAUGCAAUAUAUAUAUAAUUAAGGAGAUGGCAUUAAUACAAUAUAAAUAAUGUAGAAAAUGCAAAUUAUAUAACAAUGUAUGUAAAAAGACAGAAGACUAUAACUAAAUACAUUGAAACUUUCUGCAGUUCAGUCCCGUCCCCGUGAAUAUGGUAGCUGCAACAGAAAUUGGAAAUAACCAAAUGAGAACAAGAAAGCUUCAAAAAUUUAAAUCUCAUUGUUAUGAUUGUAUUGGGAAAUUAAUUGCAUACAAACAUGCAUAAAUGAUAGGCCAAAUGCAUAAAUUUGAUCUUGUAUUUUUGACGAUUAUUCUUGUGGCCCCUUGAACUUUGUGGAGAAUCCAUCGUAACCCUACACUUUCAUAUCAAGAUGCCACAAGGAUAAUUGACCAAAGUUUAUGAUCAAAUUUAUGUAUUAGACUAUAAAUAAUAUGCAGAAGGUAAUUCAUUUAAUUAGUGGGUGGGAUCUAAAAAGGCAGCAAUAAGAAGAGCAUGUGUAAUACUUAAAACCUAAAAGAAUUCUUGCUUAAAUGUUGGAAUAUAUGUACAGUCUGUUGGACAAAAGUAUCUGUUUUAAUAGUAGUUAGUUGUUUUAGUAGCAUUUAACUAUUAGCCAUUUGAGUAGCUUUUUAUGAAAUUCUAAAACUGGUUUAAAUAUUAUAUUACCGAACACUGUAAAAGUUGGAUUAGAUAGUAACUGACAAGUAGUUUAUUUACCUUUGUUUGUAAAAAACUCAUAAGCAUGUAGAGGCAGCAUAACUUCCCAUACAUGGACACUCUACUUUUCUGCUGGAUAGGAAGAAAAAGAUUUCCUUAAUUUCAAUGUAAGAGCUAAUCUUUUGACACAGCAAAUGGCAAAAAGUAAAAAACAAGAUGAUUUUAUAGUUAAAAUAUGAAAGUAUAUCAUAAUUGAAAUUAGGCUUAUGCUGAAAAUUUACUUGAGUUCUAAAGUGACUCUUUAUUACUUUAAAUAUAUCUAAACAAAUCCAAAAUUAAUUUUUUUAUCAGUUUAGUCCUUAAAUUUUUAUUUUUAGAUCAAUUAGUUUCAAUUUUUAUUAAAAGGAAAAUUAUAUUAAGUAAAGAAUCAUAAUUAUUUAUACCUUUCAAACAUUAUAAGCAUUUCAGUGUCCAUUAUUUUUAGUUUUCUCAAUCAUUCAAACAUUUUUGUAAAACAAACUUUUCCAAUCAGAUAAAUACACUCUAUUUUUUUUUCAAUUUUCCCAAAUCAUAAAGCCUGAUAUUAAAUGUCAUAUAGUUAAUUUGAACUUUAAUUAAUCUAAAUAAAAAUUAAAUGAAGGGAGAAAUAAGAUUACUUGCACCUAAUCAUCACUGUCAAGCGAGGAUUGAAUGUUGCAGCCAUCAACAAUAACUUGAGGAAUAUGAGCAAUUUUGGACCAAUCUUCACCCUUUUCACGUUCACAUCUUUCUCCCAAUGCAGAACAAUUUUCAAUCUUCAGUUGUUGAAGAGAAACUAUAUUUUUCAGGCAUGCAGGUAAUUCUUCAAUAUUAGAACAAUCUUCAAGAUGUAAGUUUUGUAGAGUGUACUUGGAUCCUUGGAGAAGCCAAUAUGGAAAAUUCACUAAUUUUGGCAACUUUACAAGUGCCAAAUUUUGAAGGCUGAGUUGAUUGAAAUCUUCCUCAUCCACCAUGUCCAAAUCGAUAUUUUCACAACCACCAAUUGUAAGAGUUUUUAGUGAACUCAGAUAUUUUAUGCUUGGUGGCAAACAAAUUAAACUUUUACAAUUUGCAAUAACUAGUUUUCGAAGUUUACUAAGACCUUGCAUAUCUUCACACAAGUAUUUUAGAUUUUCACAUUUAAUAAUAAACAAAAUUCGAAGAGAUUUCAAGCAUCCAAUUCCAUUAUUUAACGACCUCUCCUCUUUUGUUGUCAUUAGUAAAAAUCUAAGGCUGAUAAAGGACUUUAUAUUAGUGGGCAACUCUUCAAAUCCUUGACAAAGUAACAAAGCUUGUAAAUUUUGCAACUUGCAAAUAGAAUCAGGGGCUUUGAUAAUCUUAGAAUUUCCAUGUAAACGGAAAAAUCUCAAAUGCUUUAAAGUGCCUAUUCUCUCUAGUGGAACGUCUAAUUUCAAAUGACCUAAAUCCAACAUCCGCAAAUAUUGAAAUCUUGACAAAUUUACGUCCAACAUUAAUUUGCUGUUAAGAUCCCUUUCCUUACUCAUAAAAACAAUUGUUCUUGCAUGGUCUAAUCCUUGUAAAAUCGUGGAGAGAUCUUGAGGAAGUGAAGCAUUGUCAGGAAAUAACAAAUGUCGAACAUUUUUGGGGAUCUGUCUAGUGCUAGAGGUCACUAUUAAAUAUUCAUUUUGUGUCAAUGAUAAUGCAAGAUCAUGCACUAAAUCAUGCAUUUUACAGUUAAUAAAUCCAUAAUUUUCCUCGAAAUCUUGAAAAAAGCACUUAGAUGCUAACUCCUUCAAAUAAUGCAAACCCGCAUCUUCCAAUUCCUCAUUUUCAUUCAUCGAUCGAACAAGUCCAUGUGCCAUCCAAACUUGAACUAAUUCAACAUCAUUAUACAUAUAGUCCUUUGGAUAAAAUGAACAAUAACCCAAACAUCUUUUCAAGUCAGAUGGCAAUUGCUCGUAACUUAAUUUUAAAGCAUGUAAAAUGCCAUUUUCCCCCUGCUCCAAUUUCCAUAACUCAUUGUCUCUUAUAGAAUUCCAAUAAUCUUCGUCAGUUUUUGAAACAAGGAGAGAAGCCAGUGUCUUCACAGCUAAGGGAACUCCUUUACAUUUUUUCACAAUUCCAUCCCCAAUUUUCAACAAGUUUGGAUAGCGUUUCUCUUGGCCUUUUGUAAAUGCAAAUUUAGUAAACAAAGCCAUAGACUCAUCAUGAGAAAGACCUAACAAUUCAUAAGCAGGAACAGAACCCACAAUAGAGGCAACUUGGUUACUACGAGUUGUUACCAAGAUUUUACUUCCAUUGCCACCCAUAUACAACAAUUCCUUCAAUUGAUUCCAUUUCAUGGGGUCAUUGUUCCAAACAUCAUCUAAAACAAGCAAAUAUUUCUUCUCGCCAAUGGUUUUCUGUAGGACUUUUGUUAAUUGCUCCAUUUCCAAAUUGCUCAAGUUUUCUAUCUCAAGUCUCAUACCAUUGGUUGUCGAUUUAAUAAUUUUCUCUGUUAAUAUUUUUAUAUCAAAAUCUUCUGAUACACAAACCCACAUUUUAACUUCAAAUAAUCUCUUUACUCGAUCAUCAUUGUAAAUUAGUUUAGCAAGUGCAGUUUUGCCCAAACCUCCUAUUCCAACAAUUGGAAUAACAGAUAUUUUCCCAUCAUUCAUCAAAAGUUUGAUGAUGUUUUCUUUAUCUGUGUCUCUUCCAAUGAUAUCAGAGGCUUGCAUAUAGGAGUAGGUCAUCUCCCUUGUCCUAUGCACAAAGUAUCUAUUUCCAUGUUGUUCAUUGAGAUGAAAUUUAGCUCUAUGACUUGCAAUCUCAUCUAAUCUUUCUGACCCGUUUUAAAACGAAAUGCAAGUGGAUUAAAGGAUGAAAAGAAGCGGCCAACCUGAAAUUCAAUAAGUAUAAUAUAAAUUUAGAGAAAGAAAGAGGGUCGAGUAUAGUGAGUUCAGAUUGCAGACGAGUCGGGUUAUUCAUUUGAUUAACAAGUGAUUGCCCUGAAUUAUAUUGAACAGAGUAUAACUUCAAUUUGUAACUUAAGAAUACCUGAUCUUUAAUUUAUGUAACAAUAAAAUGUCUAUGAACAUAAUUAUGUAUCUCCGCUAACCGGAAUAUCACAUCUUUGACAAGUAGCAAUUUUUUAAUGGGAUAAUGUAAUUUUUGGUGUUUGACUUGCAUUUUUUUUUUCCAAUUUGGUGUCUACCGAUGAAGUGAAAAACCAAAUUGUUUAGUGGGACGAAUUAAGGCCCACAUAUGCCUAAUUAUGGCCUGACUUUUAAUUUAUGUAAGCUAUCUAACGCGGUAAAUAUGAUUAGAUUACCGAUUUAUAAAAGAAAAUUUAUAAAAGAAAUUGCAAUCUUAUGAAUAAUAGUUAAAAUUUUGAUUUCUAUUUUCUUUCUAAAAUAAAUGAUAAUAAACUUUAUAUAUAAUAUUAUCUAUAAUCUACAUAUAUAAAAUCUAUAUCUAGAAUAUAUAAAAGUGGAAUGAGAGGUGAACAUAGGGAAUUAUAAUAAGUAUGUAGUUAGGGAAUUAUAUAUUUCCUGACAAUAAAUAACUUUUAUAUAUCUAUAUUUAUAAUAUAAAUUUAUAACUAUAAUUAAUAUAUACAAAAGUAAAAAUAAGUGGGUGAAUAAUGUCAUUGUCAAAAAGCUCAUUCUAAGUUUAUCGAUUGAAAAAAAUAUCAUUAAGGAUUUUAAUUUGAUUAAUUGGGUAAAAAAAAUAAAGAUACUUUAAUUUUGAUUGAUCAUGUUAAUUUUCUAUUUAAAUCUAAAUUUUAUUGAGUAAAUAAAAUUGUAUUAUAUAUUAUAUAAGGUAUAUAUUAAAUGCCUUAAGAAGUUUUAAGGAUUUUAAUUUAUUUUUUUUUUGAAAGAGAGGAUUUUAAUUUUAUUAAUUUUAUUAGUUGAAAAAAUAAAGGUAAUUUAAUUUUGAAUGGUUAAAUAUCCUAUAUAAGGUAGAUAUUAAAUAUGUUAAGAAUACGAUACAUUUAGUUAUUAUUUUUGAUAAAUCUUUAUUUUAAUUAGUUAUAAUUAUUUCCUACAAGUAACCUAUACUAUAAAAAAUAUAUGCAAUAUAUUAUUAUUUAUUAAGAAAUAUAUUAUAAGGUUUAUUAUUCGAUAUAAAAUAGAAAAUAAAACUCACCGUGUAAUUUAAUAUAAUAUAAUAUUAUGAUAUAAUAUGUUAUAUUAACAAACCAUGUAAUAUAUUGAAAUAAUAUGUGAAAAUGUAACUUUUUACAAUUCAUUUGCUAUUAUAUAAUAAAAAAUUAUAUAUUGUUCAAGAAAUAUACAAUUAAUAACCUUCUUCAAGUUUAACAAAAUUGACCUAUCAAUAUCUAAAUUUUAAAACUAAUUAAUAAUAUAGAUCUUACUAAAUAAAGAGACUUAGACAACUAAGUUAUAAUAUUUUGUGCAUAAUAUUUAUAAUUCUAAUAUAAUUUUAGAAAAUUAAUGAUAAAUAAUUCAUUUUUUAUUUUCAAAAUAAAUGAUUAUCCAUGCUAUUGAAAGUUCUCUUCUAAAUUAUAUGACUUUACAUAUAUAUUUAAACAAAAAUGUGAACUGAAACCUAAUUUUUUUUGUGAAAUAUUUAUUUUUUACCGACUAAUUGGAGAACACAGAACUAGCUCAUCUUUUUUUAUUAUUUUGUAUACAAGAAAAAUAAAUAAUAAUAACUGAAUUGAAUUGAUUGUAUAUUAAUUAAAAUAAGUUAAUGCAAAAAGUAUAUUUAUUAUAGUAUCAUAAUAUUGAUUUUAAAAAUUUUAAAGUAAAAAAAAAAAAUCUAUUUUUAUUAUUUUUUAUAUGUCAAACAAGUGACAGUUUCGGGUCUAGUUAAUGGAUCGGGUCUUUGAAUGAGGUCAACAAGUUAACCUACUAAGUCAACCCACAAUUGACCCUCACCGGAGUUGGGUCAUUCAGGUUUGGACUCAGGUAGAGUUUGGGCGGACAGAUUCAGGUUGGGUUUUACAAAUUGGGUUAAGAUAUGGUGGAAAGUUCUGUAUUCUAAAUUUCUUUUUGAUACAUAAAAAGCCUAAUGGACUGAAAUAAUAUUGUGGGCUACACAACAUAGGUAACUCUUUUCUUUAAAUAAUAUUCACUAAAACUCAAGAGCUCUAACUUCCUUCAUCUUUUAUCUAAUGGACUGAAAUACUAUUGUGGGCUACACAGCAGGGGUAACUCUUUUCUUUAAAUAAUAUUCACUAAAACUCGAGAGCUCUAACUUCCUUCAUCUUUUAUCUAAUGGACUGAAAUAAUAUUGUGGGCUACACAGCAGGGGUAACUCUUUUCUUUAAAUAAUAUUCACUAAAACUUGAGAGCUCUAACUUCCUUCAUCUUUUAUAAAAGGUCGGAAGACCAAUCAGACCACAUUUGAUUGGAGAAGUAUUAUUAAACUAAUACAUUAAUGUAAUACUAAUUGAAAUUAUUAUUACAUGUUCAUAAGCAUGUGUGUGUCUUUCUGUAAUUUGAUUCUAUUGCCUUUUGUUUCUAGUUAAUAACUGCUAACUAGUAUUUUCUCAUGCCAUUAAACUAGUACUUGGCAGUUAAAAAAAAAAAAAAGAAAGAAAGAAAGAAACAAAAAUGGAAAAUCUUCCAAUAUCGAAUUUUCUGCGUUAUCGAUAUAAAGUCUGAAAAUUAUAUAUAUGAAGGAGAAUAACUUAUCUAUAUUCGAUGUAUACAUUCAUCCUAUACACCAAAUCAAUUAAAAAUAAUUUUUUGAAUCAAAUGAAAGUAUUUUAUUAGGAUAUAAUAGCAAUUAGUUAAGGAGUUAGGUUGUUUCUAUUUUUCUCUAUCUUGCUCUCUAUUUUCUCUCUUCCCAAUCACUCUAGUUAGGUUGUUCCCUAGCAAUUGGUUUCAUAUUAAUAUUUAUACUUUUAUAACGGCCACAUCACCUAUUAUUUACAAUUCAGUAUCCUAACAUAUUUCUAAUCGGAGAUAAAAGAAUAAAGAGUAAUCAUUUUUUUAAAAAAAAAACUUUUAAUAAUCUAGGCAAAUCUUAUCCUGUCCUAUAUGAAGAGUAAAAACAAUUGAGAGGCAUGUACCUUUUUUCUGGUGCUUCCAUAUAAUUUAAGCACUUCCCUUCUCUUUGUCUCGCACUCUAAUUCAUCAAGAACAUCUUCAGCAUCAUAAAGGGCGUCUUUAAGCUUAGCCAACCAAAGGCGCAACUCGUGGUUCUUUUCCUGCUUCUCCUUUGCAUCCAAUAGCACAGCUUCUAUAGUUGACAAGAUAUCCUCAAGCUUUUUCACUUCCCCUUCAAAACCCCAUGCAAAACAGAUCUCUUUGUAAGCAUUAGAAGCUAGCUUUUCCAAUACUUUUUCAGCUAUAUUAAAAGCAAAUGACUCUAUAGCCAUGUCUUAAUUUUGUGUUUGAAAAAUUAUAAAGUGGGUUUCGGUUUCUAAGAAUGAGCUAGAAAGAAUUUAUGAACAUCCCAUUUUAUAGAGUAUUCAAGUAUAAUGUUGUGAAUUAAAGUAUGUAUUCUUUUCUUUUCUUUGUGGAAAUAACUAAAUAAGAUGCUAAGUCUUUUGAUGUGUAAAGUUGGUACAAUUAAUGAUUUAUUUCUCUAUUCUCUUAAGUUGUAUUCAUUCCAAAUUCCAACUUUUUUUGGAAGAAAAGUUAAUAACUUAUUCUCCACUUGAUAAGGAAAAAUUAAAUGUGUCGUGAGAAGAAUUGGGUUUCAAUUCAUAGCCUCAUAGAAAUAUAUAUUAUAAUAAGGCUCCACACGUUUGUUUAUGUAAAAUAAGUUAUAAGAAAAUAUUUUUCAUAAUUUUCUAUUGUUUGGAACGUUCAAGAAAAUAAGUCAAUGGAAAAUAUUUUGUCAUCAAAGGAAAAUUAAGUCAUUUUUAAGGAAAAUAAUUUCGCAUUUUCAUGAGAGUAAAAUAUUUUCUGGAUAUUGACAAAUCUUAUGAAUCUAAUUUUUUUUUUUAAUUUAUUAAUUAUUGUAGUCAUCACCACCAAUCACCAUUUACCACCGACCACCAGCCACCGGCGGCAACACCACCGACCACCGACGGCUUUCAUAAUUUACAUUUUUUUUUUUUUGCAUUCUUGCCCUAUUUAACAAUAAAAUUUUUAAAUUAUAAAAUUUCUAUUAUUAUUAAUAUUUUUUAUCAUCUUAUAAGAUAAAUAUUUUAAUAUUUUUAACUAAUUUUCAAUAUUACAGCCAAACUACAGAAAAUAAAUCAUUUAAAAAUUAUUUUUCAAGAAAAAUUUUUUCAUAAAAAAUAUUUUUCAGCAAGUUAUUUUACGAAAAUAAACGGAGCAUAAGUCAAAUAAUUAAAAUAAUAAACUUUAACAAUGAAAACAAAUAAUUGGUUUAAAUAAAAUGAAUUAUUUUUCAUUAAUCAUCAUUGUUGUUGUAAAGAAAAUAUAGCACAUUUGUUUUUAUACGUUUUAUUAUUAACUAACAUUUAUUUCAUUCGCUAAUCUUAUUAUUUAAACAUUAUUAAGCUUUGUUAUUUACCAAGUAAAAAUAAUCAUUUAUUUUUCACUUUUUCUUUCUCUCCUGAUAUUUUAUUUGACUCAUAUCUACUUUCUUAUCUAUUUUGUCUUUGUUUUUAUUAUUAUUAUUAUUAUUGUUGUUUUGUCUCCACAUUUGAAAUUUUUUCACCCCUUCUUCCAUGAGGGUAUCAUCCCUUCUUUGUGAAAAGUAUAAUACUCAAUAAAUGUAUGAUAUUUGAUUUUAUUUGAUUGAAGAAUUUAGAUCUUGAGUUCUAGAUAGAAGAAUUCUUUAUGUUUGAUAUAUUAAUUAAAAGGUUACAUGGGUUUAAAUACAAGUAUGAGAGAUAAGAAUCUCAUAGUAUAAGCUAACAGUAUUUUACUAUAUCUUAACAAAUAUAUGAACAACUAACUUGCAAAGAAUAUGGCAUGCAUGGAACGGAUUGUAAGCAAAGUAAAAGAAAAGCAUGUCUUGAACGUGACACAACUUAAGAAGGUUAUAAGUAAGAAUUUAUUUAUUAUUGUUAUCUUUUUUUUAAAAUGCUAGCAUUCAAUUUAUUUUUAGAGCCUUGUGUUACAAGAACUAAUUUUAUUUAUUAUUAUUUAUUAUUAGUAUUUUUAUUUUUAGAAAAAAAUUCUCAAAUUGUUGAUACCCAACAAUACCGUUAUGAACCUGGGUUUGACACUAUUGUAAGCCUAAUUAAAUUAACUUAAAUCCCUACAAAGGCCCAUAACUUCAAAAAUAAGAUUUUUGAUUUAAUAUAAAUCAAAAAUAUUUUGAAAGCAAAAUUACAGGAUGUUUCAGCAGGGGUUCACUAUGGACUGUGUUCAAUACGGGCCAAUCAAAUUUUUUUAUAUAAUAUUUUUAAAUAUAUUUUAAAAAUAAUUAAGAUUGUAGAAUGUAUAAUACUAAAUAAUUUUUUACAAAAAGAAUUUAUAAAUAUUAAAUAAUUUUUAGAAACACUAUAAAUUAUGAAAUUAAUAAUUUUUUAUUUUAUUAAUUUAUGUUUUAUAAACAUUGUUACUGAAGUUUUUUUUUUGAAUUUCUAUGUCAGAAUCUCGAGCUACAAUCUACGACUUAUGCUGAGCCCCUCGUUCCCUCAUGGCGACCUUAGCAUCCUUCAAGGCAUCCUCCAUUUGAUUCUUCUUAACUUUCAUCUUGGGAUAACAUGAUUUUAACUUGUUAUCGAAGUGAACUUCAUGUUGUUAGCAUUAAUGGCCUGAAAAAAGCACUGGUUUAAGAAGUACCUAAUCGACACAUCGUCUAAAUGCUCGUAAUAAUGAGCAUUGGUUGGGAAGAGACAGUUCUAAGACAUUUCUCGGCUAGGCCCAUCAUCUUGAAGACUGUAGCUCGCACCAUACUUAUGCAUAAAGUAGCUACGGAUGUCCAAGGGCCUUGAAGGAAUAUGGGGGGCACUGGAGGGGCGCAGGAAUAGGAAUCUCUCUUUGUCUUUUCCUGGGUUGCUAGGUCGAUGGGCUUGAGGGAGGCAGCUCGAAUUGGGCACCCCCGGUAGUUCGGUCAACACCAGUUGGAGGAGUGUCGAUACCAUUGAAGGCACCUCUCUUCCCGAACUCUCCGCAGCAACUUUUUCUUUUUCAUUGCCUCGGUGACUUCGACCAGCUUGGAGCUCUUUGAUUUCUUCAGGGCCAUAUCUGCAUCAAAGAAAAAGAAAAAAAGGAAAAUUAAAGAAUGUUAGUACAAGGGUAAUACUUAAAAUAAUCAGAAGCAGUAUAUACCAAAAACGAAAGAAUGGGGCCUAUGGGUCCACUAUAAGGGCGAACUUGAUAACCCUCGGUAAAUUUGCUUCAAAUUCGCCAUUCUCAAUCCCCUAGACUUUAUCAACUCUACACACUUCAAAUCAUCUGAGGUAGGCGAAGAAGGGUGGUGCUUUGCAAGUUCGCCAGACCACCAGGUAGGAACACCGAACUCUCUAACUCGGUGAAUAAUGAAAAGCUUAUGCUUCCAAUUCUUUAAUGACAACAUCUUUAAAGAUUUAUAAAAUAGGUUGCAAUCUUUCCUAGCUUGGAGGAAGCAAUGAUCCUUAGUCGAUCGAUGUUACACUCGGUAAAGUCUAUCCAUACCUCGAGCCAUUAACAUAGUGCCAUCUCUGCACGCUAGCUCGGCAAUCGCACAUAGUAGCCUCAAGUCGUUAGGAUGUAAUUGACUGAUAGUGAUCCCAUGCUCGUUGAAAAAUGACCUUAGAGGCUCAGAGAGAGGAAACUGAACACCAGAGCGAAGAUGCUCUUCGUACAGUAUCAUAAACUCUUCAUCAUCCAAAGGGGCCUUGGCUCGCACAUCUGGCCCAAGGCGAGUCAGUUUGUAAUCUGCACCAAGGUCAUAAUUUGUAUAAAUAGCAAGGAGCUCGCCCUCACUAAUGUCCGAAGAAACAACAGAUAUUCUGAUGUUCUCCACCCUAUCCCUUGCUUCGCCUUCCUCGGCCUCGUUGGCUUCAAUGAUCUCGUCCUCAGAAAGCUCAACUAGAGUAUGCAUCUUCUCAUCACUAGAUGAACCCAUAGUCCCCUCGACAAGCAAGGAAAAAGAAAGACAGAAAAAAGAAACUUACUCCGAAGAAAACUUUAGAGAGAGAAGCUCUGACAAAAGCAAUUUAGAGAGAGAAGCUCUGAAGAUAGAAAAUGAAGUUGUGAAAGCAAGUGAAAGCAAAAUGACCCCUAUAUAUAGAAAGGGGCGAGAAAAGGUCACACCCAUCAAAAGCCUCUUAAAUAUCCCUCGGCUAACAAACCAACUCCUCGUUCCUCGCAUAGAAGGAGUUGUCUUUUUUUCUAACAUAAAUGGUACACAUAAAAUAAGAAAACUGCAAUAAAAAUGGUGAGAAAAUACACUUACUCAUAACCCUUUUCUAGACAUAAAUAACUAAAAAACUAGGGGGAGACUACUAUUUACAUACAAUAAUAAAUAAUAUUAAAAUAAUGAUAUUAGACUUUUAAGUAAAUUCAAAUUAACAGAUAAUGCAGGAUUCGUAAUCCUUGUCUUAGUAUAAUUGUCUUGAAUCCAAUAUAUAUACUUAGAAAUUACCCCAUUGAGGGGUUAAUUCACAAUUUACUCGCUCCUAAAUUUCUGAGAGUAUAACAGUAUAGUUCUUGAAAAGUUAAGGGAAUUCCCAGAAGGAAUUCUUGAUGACUGCAAAAUUUCUUUCCUCAGAUUUUGAAUUUUCUUUAGGGAAAGAGGGUAGGUUUUGUGAAGAGCAAAUAUUUAGUCAUAUCUAUAGAGCUUGUAUUGCGCAUCUGUGAAGGAGAUAUCAGUCUUUUCUUGAAAUAUCUUUUUGAGGCAUAUUCUUUAAUUCAAUCUAAAUGUUGCUUUAUUUCAAGAAUGAUAAUUAAAGAAGACUUUUGGCACGUUUGUCUAGAAUUUGGAGGAUUUGUCUGGUAAAAUAUAGAUUUGGGGAAUAAUUUUGGUUUCUUAAAAGAGAAUAUGAUUUUAGUUAAGAAUUUUUCACUUUCAAUAGACCCUUAUUAUUUAAUUGGAGGUGGGUAUUUUUUUAUGUAUAUAUAAAAUAUUAAUGAAGAUUUAGUAGUAUGAUAUGUUCAUAAUUUUUGAGAACAACAUAACUUUGGAUAUAGUUUCCAAAACAGAAUAAUUUAUCAUAAUUUUAAGCACUUCCGGCAUGGCAUCGAGGGAUCCAAAUUUGGGUGCUGCUAUAAUGGAAUGAUAAAAGAAAUCUGUGACUCUAAUAUGCUACAAUUUCUCCAAGAGAGUAAUAGCUACAAUGGUGAACUGUGACUAUAACGUGCUACAACAUCGAUGAUGGAGUGAAAGCUGAUGUGUAUCUUGUAAUAGAAAAGCCACGGUAUAUUUUUGUCCAAAUAAAAAUAGCCAGAAAUCUCACAAAUCAAGUAACAAAUAUUUUCAAUUGAUAUAUUUUGGAUUUUAAGCAAAUACUUAUGAAUAAAGACUAAAUAACAACUAGCAAUUAUAUGACCCAAAAAUAAUAAUUAUGUUAUGUAAUUUUUAAAAAUGAAUUUUAAAAAUAAUUUUAAAAUAAUUUUGUUGUUUGUUGUUUAAUCAAAUAAUUUUAAAAAAAAUAUUUUUCUUCUUAUUGACACCAUUUUCACGCUUUUGCAUUUAUAACUAAAGUGGAAGCAUACAGAUAAUUUAGAUCUAAAUUGCUAUAUAUCAUGGUUCUGAGAAUUGAAGCGGAGUGAUCGAUUCGACUGGUUUAAUCAGAGAUUGAACUGUAUCCUGUCCUGAUUGAUUAAUAAAGACGGGAGCUAAAAAGUCAGUAAGAACCAGAGAGAACCGAUGAGAAUCGAUUAAUAAACGGUUAAUAAACCAACGAACUAAAACCUCAAAUAUUACAGUUUGAUUUGAAAUCAAAAAUGUAAAGAGAAAAUGGAACAUCUUUUAAAGCCUGUAGCCACGUAAUCUCUGUACUUAAAAUAAAAACCUAUGUACCUAAAACAUGAUAUCAUUGUUCAUUUUAUUUAAAAUAAAUUUUAAAAAAUAAAAAAUGUAAAAUUUUUUGAAAGAUUUAAUUGUGUAUUCUCCUCCAAAUUUUAUUUUUAAAAAAAUAUAUGCAAUCAAAUCAAACAAAAAUAAAGAGAAAAAAUGGAAAUUCUUUUAAAGCCUGUAGCCACGUAAUCUCUGUACUUAAAAUAAACACCUAUGUACCUAAAACAUGAUAUCAUUGUUCAUUUUAUUUAAAAUAAAUUUUAAAAAAUAAAAAAUGUAAAAUUUUUUGAAAGAUUUAAUUGUGUAUUCUACUUCAAAUUUUAUUUUUAAAAAAAUAUAUGCAAUCAAAUCAUACAAACAUAAAGAAAAAAUUAAAUAAAAAUAAUAUAUAUUUUUCUUUUUUUAUCUCUUUCCUAAAUAAAAUAUUAUGUAUAUUCUAUUUGAAAUUUUAUUUCUAAAAAAUUAUAUCCAAUCAAAUUAUACAAAUAUAAAGAAAAAAAGAAUAUUAAUAAAAAAGAAUAUUUUUUAUUUUUUAUUUUUCUUCAAAAUAAAAUAUUUUAAAUUAUAAUUAGAAUAGUAUCAAAUAUUUAAAAAAAUAAAUAUAAAAAUUUUCAUAUAUACUUAUUAAAAAUAAAUUUAAAAUUUAAAAUAUAGAAUUUUGAAAUGUUUAAUUAUUUAUAUGUAUUUAUGUAAAAAUAAUUUUUAUAAAUAUGUACAAUCAACUAAUAAAAUGUAAUUUUCUAAUUGACUAUGACUAAGAUUAUUUUAGUAUAUUCUAAAUUUCAUUGAGGACACUAUCGAAAAUCUGAUUAUUUCCCUCUAUUUUCAUAUUUAUAUAUAGUAUAAAUAAUAGAUUAUAGAUAUAUUAUUUAUCAAUUUGCAAAUUAUUUUUUAAAAUCUCACAUAGCAAGUCAUUUAUGAGCAAACUGCAACCACCAAACUGUUCUUUUCACUUCAUCUUUUGAAUUCCAUUUUCUUCGAUGGCUACUAAAUUCUUCAUCCUCUUGUUAUUCCUUUAUUUAUAUUCAUAUAUUUUUCUCACUUCAACUCCAUCUCCAGAUAGUUGGAGAUUCACCAUCUGUCUCUUUCUACUACUACUACUACUACACUACCAAAAAUUGGAUCUCCUCUUGCAUCAAUAGAUCCACCAAUCUCUGGUAUUUUAUUCAAAAAUUGGAUCACCAAAACACAAAGCUUAAAUGCCUUCAUAGUCUCUUGAGGUUUAUCAACAGGUAUUUUGUUCAAAAUGACUAAGAAAAACCAAAAAACCAGGUUCAUAUUGGUUCUUUCGAUUUCCAAGUUUGUCUGAAUUUUUCUGGUCCAACAUUUUUCUGACAAUUCGAGUUUGAGUGUUAAACCAGACCGGGCCAGCUAUUAGUUCGCAAGUUAACCGGUCCAACUGGUGGGCCUGGUUCGAUUUUAAAAACACCAUGAAUAUACAAACCUCUCAUAUAGAUGGAUCUAUGCAUUUCACAAAUUUAUUUCUACAACAUUAUCUUAACCACAACGACUGAAUUUUAAUUUCAAACUAGUUGGAUUUGACUAUGAAUUCUUUAUUUCCAUCCUCCAUUGUUUACAAUCAAAUUAUGCACGAUGUUUGGCCAAAAAAAAAAAAAGAUAUUUUAUAAUAAGUUCUCGAUAUGGCUCUAAAUCUACCUUAAAAAAAAAAAACAUAUCUCUAAAAUAUUAUAACAUAAAUUAUAACAUAAAGUGCAUGUAAAUGUUAUUAUUUUUAUAAAUUCAGAAACUUUGUCAAUAUUUUGGAAUCUUCCAAAAAGAAGAAAUAACAAAUAGAUAAAAUGAAAUGGAGGAGUAAUUAAAAAAAUACUAACAUUGAAACUUUAGGAGAUUAAAAUACAAAUUUCAAUAGUAUGGUGUCAUUAAUUAAAUUCUCGUAACUAUCAAAUACAAAAGUUAAUUUUUGUACUUCAAAGUCAUUUCGUUUUCAAACAUAAAAGCUGAGAAAGUAGAACUCUUCUGAAUGAAGGAUCUGCUGCUAUAAAAACGUGCCUUUAGCUGUUAGAUUGCAAUGUAUAUUGGGAUUAAUGUUUUUGUUUCCCUUCUAAAUAAAUUAGCUACGUGCUAUGCAUACAUAAAUUAAUAAAUAUUUAUUUUUUAAUAUAUAUAAUUGAUUUAUAGAUAAAUAAUUUUGAAACAUAUUCAAAUUUAAUUUAACAAAUAUAGUUAAAAAAAUUUUAAAUUGUAAUUAUGAUAUUAAACCAUUUUUAAAAAAAAUAUAUUUUUGGAAUGUUACAAAAAUAAAAUAUUUUAUUUUAUUUAUUUACAUAGCCAAAUAAAAAUUUAUAAUUUUGAAAUGGCUAUUUCAUUUAGUGAAAAAUUUUUAUUGUGCGAAUUAUAUAUUUAGUCAAAUGAUUAUUUAUUUAGUUAAGUACUAUAUUAUUAAUUAUUAUGCCUUAACAUUUAUAUUUUUAUAUUUAUUUACAAAUUAAAUUCAAACAAUAGAAAAUUAGAAUAAAACAAUUAAUAUACUAUGAUCAUAUAUAUAUAUAUAUAUAUAUGAUUAAUUAUUGUUAUUUUGUGGUUAAUCUAUAUUCUAAAAAAUUGUUUUAAAUAUUUAGGGUAAAUAGAAAACGUUUACAAUGCACCAUAUUGGUCACAAUCUAUAUAUAAGGCAAUUACUUUCAAAUUGAUAAAAUGAAAGCAUAACCAUGAUUAUAAGGUAAAGCGAAAUUGAAAACAGUCGAUAAUACAAAAUCUAGCUUUUAAUAACCAUGAUUAUAAGGGAAAAUUGCAUUAAUCCAACUGUUAGAGAAGCCUAACAAAAUAACCGCAAAAUCUAGCUUUUAAAAUGGCAUCAUAGAAAUUAAAAUACAACUGAUUAUUUCUUUCCAAAACGACGGAUGAUCUUGCAGUAGUAAUUCCACUCAGGAUGAUCAGUAGAUAUGGCAGACAGACCAAAAUCAAGAGGAUUCUCCUUCACAUAAUAUGGCACAUCAUCAGCCUCUGUUAUGCCAUCCAAGAACAACCGAAGCUUGCCAUUAGGACCUAUAUAUUCACAGAGAAGUAACUUUAACUAUUAGUACAAGAAAAAAUAUGCAGGAAAUACGGUUUUUUUUUUUUUUUUUUUUAACAAAAUUAACCAUUAUCUCUUACCCAAAACAUUAUCAUUAGCCUGUUUUGAAUUGUACUCAGGGAUGAAUAUAGCUGAGUUAGGUGGAUUUAGAAGUGACUUGUAAGGCUCAUCAUCUAUUAACAAAGUAUUUGAUGAUGAAUAUUUUCCUGAAUACUUAUCCCACAAAUUUUCCAUUUCUUUAAAAAAGAUUGGUUUGUGCCUGUCAUUUGAAGUCUUGAAUCCAGAAUCAGUGCAGUACUUUUGGUCCUGCAAAUCAAGAAAAGCUCAAUCCAAUCAUAUAUUUAGGUGGUUAAUAUAUAUUUUUUUGGCAUAGCAUUUCAUAUAAUAUAUAUCAACUGCAGAUAGCACAUACCCAAGCAAAAAGAAGUUUGCUUUUCGAACUUCCCAUGACAAACUCCAGGGCAUUAUUCAAGUUCUUUCUGUUUAAUUUUCAAGAAAUGAAGCAAAACCAGUUAUUUAAAAGAGAACAAAACACAAUAUAUUAGGGAGGGUGUGAAGGUAAAUCCACUAACUCUAUCACAGUCGACCAAAUUCCAACUUCAAAUCUCUGAAAACAAAAUUUUAGGAAAUCUUCACAAUGGGGUCUCUUGCAAACUGAAGAGAAGAGAAGAGAAGAGAAGGAAUUAAUAAGAACUAAAUAUGUUAAAUUAACAUAAUCAAUGAAAAAAAAAAAGAAUAAAACUUUAACUUGCAAUAUUCACAUUUAGGCCCGUAUUUGUUGGAUACCCUGACCCUGUAAUACAACACUCCUGGAGAAAGUACAAGAAGCUUUUUCUUGGGGCCAAUAUUCAUCUUUUUUUCUAAACUUUUACGAAGAAAAUCUACUUGUGUAUCACUAUCACUGUCAUUAUAGUAACAAACAGACUUUUGCUUCAGGUCGACAAUACUUUCAUCCAUUAUUUCUUGGCUGUUCUCUAAACCCUAAAUAGCUGUUCUCUAACCCCUAAAUAUUUGUUAGUUAAUUGGAGAACUGUUGUUUUACAUUCUUAUAUAGUAGUAUAUAUGCGUCUUAUGGGGCUUCAACUCUUGAGCUUCUCUUAUAAGUAUUAAUUAGUAGUGUUAGUUAGUUAAGCAAUUUGUUUUUUCCAAAGAUUUCUGGAGGAGAUAAAUGGACAUUUUGGCUUUCACAUUUCAUUUUUCAAAAUUCGAAACGUAUAAUACCCAACUCAACUUUUCUUGUAUGAUUUGAUUCGACUCGAUGAGUUUGAUGAUUGCAGCGUAGUACAAAGUCUAAUUAAUGUCCAAAGGAUUUGGGGAGCCACAAAUGUAGGAGUGAUGGAAAGAUGAGGCUUGGACAAACCCAAUAAGAGGUAAUAUGAGAAGCUAAAAUCCACGUAUAUGACUCGUCAUCAAAAGACGAAACACAAAAGAUUCCAAAUAUAACAAUCAAAAAAAUUCUCAAAAGCCCGGUUAAUUUAGUCCUCUACAGCUAAUCAAAGCUAAAAAGAGACGUUAUAUUUGUAGAGAUUUUUAUUUGUAUCAACAGCAAACGACUGAGUUUCUUUUUAUUUUAAGCCAAGUGUAUAUUGUUACUUUCAUCCCUUUGAGUGGAAGCACAAGAGGGAUCAAUUGAAAGAGUGGGAAUAGAUGUGUAAAUUUAUUACACGCAGAGUCCUUCGAAAAAGUCUUGACUUGUUACUUUUUAAUCUCAAUAUUAGCAAUGACAUUAAUAUGAUUGUUUUAAUCAAUUCAUUCACUAGUGUUGAAGGGGAGUGAAAAAUUGAAAGAGUAAUGCAAAAUUAAUGGAUCAUUUUGAUCCUGAUCAAAUCCACCAUUUUUAUUUAAAUUGUCGUAAUAGCCUUCUCAAUUUUUUGAGGCUUUCAUUCUUCUUCUUUGCAAGCAUUAAAUGUAUUGUUUCAAUUAGUGCAUUGAGUUUUGUGAGUUAAUAAUGACUAAGAAGGCAUUUGUACUCUCUUAUUCUCUAGGUUGUAUGUCACUUGUCCCCUCCCUCUAUUCAUCUCAUUCUAUCUUAACAUAGAAAAAUGAAAAUUGAAAACAAUAUUUGAAAUAAGAAGCAUUAAUCAGAGAUUUUUUCGCAUAACUCUCGAGUCCAAGUUCCAAAUUAGAAACAAUCAACAUUAUAUCAUAUUUGUGUACAUAUGAUAACUUCAGAAGAAAUUAAAAUUUACUUAAUGAUUUCCAUCAAAGGAGAAUAUUAUUGAACAACAAAAUUAUAAAGUUGAGUUUUUUUUUUUUUUAUUUCUUUAAUACAUUGCUUAGUUUUAUCUUCUUCUUUUUCCUUUAUUUAUCUUCUAUCUUACUACAAUAAUAUAUAAAUUUAUAAUACUUUUCGAUAUGGACUAAAAAUGAAAAUUUUGUAUGCCUAAAACCUAAUAAUAAGAAGAUGUUAGAAUUUAAUUUCAUUAGUGUAACAAACUAUCUUUAUAGUAUUAUGAUUUUUUUAUUAUAAUUAAAAAUAAAAUUAAUGCAUAUGAUUUGGAUUGUGUAUAUAAAAUAUAAUGCAAGGAUAAUUUCACACGGAUGAAAAAUGAGUAAUUUAAUAUCAUACCGAAUGUCCAAAAAAAAAUAAUUUUAAUUUAUUUAUACAUGUAAGUAAAUUUGUUACAUCAUGCUGCUAAUUUAUAACCAAUUAAUUUGUAUUUUUUAAUUUUUGAUUGGCAACUCUUUUUUAUGUUUUUAAUUAUUUCCGUCAUUAUUGUUAGUGUUAAAUUAAAAAGCUCUCAUUUUUCAUUUCUUGCGGAGAAAAAAAGUUUUUCUCUUAGACUCCGUUUGUUUAUGUAAAAUAACUUACAGAAAAAUAUUUUCCUUAUUUUUCUGUUGUUUGGGGAAUUAAGAAAAAUAGAUCAAUAGAAAAUAUUUUCCUGGUCAAAGAAAAAUUAAGUCAUUUUCAAAGAAAAUGACUUUCCAUUUUUAAGAGCGUAAAAUAUUUUCUGAAAUUUGACAAACUUAUUAUAACCUUAUAGAUCCAUAUUUUAUUAAUUUAUUAAUCAUUAGUAGCCACUACAACUACCACCACCAUUGGCCACCAUCGACUACCACCACGGGUCAACGAUGACUUUCAUAAUUUAUCUUUUUUUUUUGCAUUAUUUUUGUAUUUAACAAUAAAAUUUUUAAAAUAUGAAAUCCAUAUUAUUAGUAUUUUUAUUUUUAUGAUUUUAUAAGUUAAAAAUUUUAAUAUUUUUAACUAAUUUUCAAAUUAUAACCAAACAACGGACAAUAAGUCAUUUAGAAAAUAUUUUCAAUGAAUGUUUUCAAGAUUUUCCAAAGAUAAGUUAUUUUCCGGAAACAAAUGGAGCCUUAGAUUAAUGUUAAAAGUACUUUUCAUAUUAUUUUUUUUUAUCUUUAUAUCCAAAAAUAUUUACAUUUAGAAAUUUUUUUUUUUUUGCGAUAAAUUGAAAGACCAUUUUAUUGACCUUCAAGCCUUAAUAGCUAAAAAAUACAUAUGGUGGAUGAGUAGACCAAACCACCCAGUCUGUCAAACUAGUGACCGCUCUUACUAAAUUAUGAGCAACACCGUUAGCAGACCUGCUAAUAAACUCAAGACUCACAUCUCGCAAUUCUAGUGAAAGAGAUUUACAGUCCUGAAUAAUUAAAUCGAAAGUAGAGUUAUCACCAUAGCUAGGAUCAGUAAUAGCCCGAACACAAGGUUGAGCAUCUGACUCCCCAACCACAGUAGACCACCCUACCUCCUUUACCCAGCUUAGAGCUUCUCGUAUUGCCAUGGCUUCAACCGCAUCUGCUUCAUGAUUUCCUUGAACAGAAAUUUUCAAGGCCUGAAUAAAAUCACCGCAGCUGUCCCGUGCCACACAACCAAUACCCACACAAUUUGCAUUGAAAGUUGCAUCAUCUAGAUUAACCUUGAUAACAUCUGCAGAAGGUUUCGACCGAGAAGCAAUUCCUGCAGAAUUUCCAACCCGAGGAUGAUGAUCUCUAGCAUUCAACCAAUCUGUUAACAAGUACUUUGCCUUGCGAUAGACUUGAUUCGGACGCAUCCAAACCUGCUUCCAAAUUGCUGCUUUGCGUGCCUUCCAUGAUGCCCAUAACAUCAUUAUCACCAUUUGCAAAACCUCACCCGAAUAAUUCUCAACACGGCAGGCAAACCAAUCCUGAAAAGUUGGACCUGUUGGAGUUCGAUAACCCACAUCAGACGUCAACCAACAGUCCUUUGCAAACGGACAAAGAACAAACAAGUGCAACUUAGUUUCAUGACUACCAUGGCAGAAAACACAAGAUCCCUGAACUGGAAUUUGUCAGAUGCUGUAAAGUCGAAAUCAAAGGAACAGCAGAGUUGCAGACUCGCCAUGCCAAAUUCAGACAUUUUGGUGGAGCAGAAAUGUGCCAAAAUUUUCGCCACAAUAGCCUAUAUUGCUGUUGCAUAUUUGUGAUAGGAAUAGAGGUCAAAUGCCGAGAGGCACUCUUCACAGAAUAUUUACCCUUCUUGUCGAACCUCCAACUCCAUUCAUCAUUCACACAACGGCGGCUUAGAGAAAUGGAAGCAUUGGCAGCAGCAUCUUCAACGUUAAACACGUGGGAAAUAACAUCUAACCUCCACCGAAAAUUGCCAAUUAAAUCGGAAACAAGGAACAAAUUACAAUCAAUUGUUCUUGGAGUCGAAAUUUUCAUAGAUAACUUAGAUGGUAGCCAUGUAUCCUCCCAUAUUAGAAUAGAUGAGUCGUUUCCAACUCUCUUUCAAGAUCCCUCCUUAUUUAAAGUUCGACUCUCCCAUCUACUAUGCCAUAGGAAGCUGGGAUUUUUCCCUAACUGUGAAUCAAGAAAAUUAAUAUUUGGGUAAUAUUUGGCUCUAAGUAACUUAGCCACUAUAGUGGAAGGAUUCGUCAAUAAUUUCCAAGCAUGUUUGCCCACCAUUGCCAGAUUAAAUUCCCUGAGCUUCUUAAAACCAGACCACCCAAACAUUUCGGUCUACUCAUCCUAUCCCAGCUCAUCCAGUUUAUGCCUUUCUCAUGAUUCGACUCUUUACCCCACCAAUAAUUACUCAUUAGGCGUUGAAGCUCACAACAAAAGGUCUUGGGUAACAAAAAGAGAUUCAAAACAUAAUUGGAAGCGCUUUUAGCAUAGUCUUAAGCAUAACAUCCUUACCGGCACGCGAUAGACAACAACGCUUCCAUGAAUUCAACUUCUGCCAUAGUCUCUCUUUAAUAAAAUCGAAUACUUGUUGUUUAUUCAAACCCACACGAGUAGGCAAAACCAAAUAAGUACCCAAGUCAGCCUUUUCCUCAACACCCAGAGCUUCACAUAUUUGAAGUCUCAAAGCUGCACCUGACAUUCUUUGAAAAACAAAGAGAAGACUUGUUCAUAUUGAUUUGUUGACCUGAAGCUGAAGCAUAAAUCUCAAGGACUUCUUUAACAACCUUGGCCUCACUGUUUACCGCCCGAAAAACCAACGAACUGCUAUCUGCAAAAAACAAAUGAUGAAUAGGCGCACCACGCACCAAUGAAAAACAUGUACUUAAAUUCGAUUCCGAUUAUUCGGUUUUUGAAAUUAGAGCUGGCGGUUCUGAUUGAAAUCAUGAAAAACAUAUUUUUAAAAGAACUUUCAAUUUGUUUUUUUUUUAUUAUUUUAUUGUGAUUUUUUAAAGUAUUUUAAACAAUUUUUAUUAAACUGGUUUAGUUUUUUCAAUAGUAAUAUUUAUUAUUAUUAUUUACUUAUUUAAGCUACAAAUCUAAAAAAGCAUUUUAAAAAGUUUGAAAUAUAUUAUCUAAUUUCGGUUCAAAGUCGGAAUAAAACAGGUACCAGCAAUUCCAAACCGUCUAAAAGUGGUUCGAUUUUGGUUCCACCUUUUUUUUAUAACCGAAACCUGUAGUUUUGAAACCAAAAUCAGCGAUUCUGAAACCAUGGUCAUUCCUCUUACAAUGAAGAGACAAAAAAUACCAAAUAUGAAAACAAAACAACAAUAACAAAAAUAAAGAAAACAUAAAUAUAAGUUUAUUAAAGUGAAUAAAAAUUAAAAGAAAGAGUAGAAAGUAAGAGCUACUGAUAUGACUAGCGAGAAAAAAGAGAAAAGGAUUCCAAAAGCCAAACAUAUUAAUGGUUACUUUUAUUGAUAAUUGUCUUAACUAUUUAUACAAAUAUAAUAAUAAAAGUAAUUACUGACAUUGUAAUUACUCUUGUACACUUUAUAUUCUCAAACUAUACUAUCAAUGAAAACAUAAUUAAAUUAAUUUUACUUUUGAUACUCCCCUCCAGUGGAGCAUACAAAUCUUUUAUGCUCAACUUGCUUAACAGCAACUUGUUCAAGCUGAAGGGCGGUUAAGGAUUCUUCAAUGGAAGCAAUGUCCUUCUCUAAUGUUUCAACUCGGGUGUCCAUUCUGGUUUUGGUUCGAAUCCAACAGGUGAGACCAAUGAUAGAGAUGAGAACAUUGAGAAGCAGAGGAGAUAACAAUAAAGAAUAUAAACUCAAUAAGGAAAUCUGGAGAGAGUUUCUAUUGAUUGUAUUUUCAGGUUACAAGAUUUCUAACUCGUUACUCGAAGAAGGAACAAAAGAAAAUAAUAGAUAUCCAAAGCAAAAGAAAGAUAAUGGCUGACAAAUCAACAACCAAGCAAUUGCUCGUGCAGAGAAUUCUACCAAACAUUCUAUAUGCCAAAAGAUAUCUUCCCUCUCCAAUUGAUUCCAUAUAUAAGCUGCAGCAUAACUAAUUCCUUUGACGUGGCACCUUUUCUUGGUCCACAAUUCUGCUCCAUCAGCAGACCGGCAUCUUUUAGAAUACACUAAAAAGGGCCUUGGGCCUGGGUCAUUUCUAUCAAAUUGUCCUGGAUAUAGAGCUUUAAUGAACAAAUCUGCAACCUGUUCAUCAGUCUUAACAUACUCUGCUUUGAUAAAGUUGGAUAAAAACAAGAACUUGAUAUCUGCAGUUGUAUCAAGCUAAACAAAGUGAAAGAAACUGAAACUGAAAUACAAUAAAUGAUAGAAAGAAAAUGAAGAAAACCACACUUUUGGAUGAUUAAACACAGAGAGUUGAAGGCUUAUUUAUAGCCAUACUCUAAACAAUAAUAGUAGACAAAUAUGGCACUAACAGUAACAUGACUUGACCUUAACAAACUAUCAGAUAAAAUAGUAGAACUAAUAGCAAAUAUCUAAACUGAACAGAUUAUUAUUUGAAUCAAUCUUUAACACACCCCCUUGAUUCAAAAUCACACACUCCAAUGCUGGAACAAAAGAACAAAUGUUUCUUAAGUGGAAGAGCUUUAGUCAGAACAUCAGCAAGUUGCUCUACAGUGCUGCAAUAAGUCAAACUAAUUUGCUCACUUGUGACCAAUUCUCGAAUGAAGUGAUGACGAGUGUCAAUGUGUUUAGUCCUCCCAUGUAAACCUGGAUUUUUUGCCAUGAAAAUAGUGGAUUUAUUAUCAGAAAAAAUCUCAGUUGCUCCCUCUUGUUCUUGAUUCAAAUCCUUCAAUAUCCUUCGAAGCCAAACUGCUUGACAAGCUGAGGCGGUUGCAGCCAUGUAUUCUGCUUCAGACGACGAUAAGGCUGCCGUUGGUUGUUUUUUUGAGCUCCAAGACACUGUACAUGAUCCAAGCAUGAAAACCUGACCUGAAAUGCUUCUUCUAUCUUCCACAGAAUUAGCCCAAUCGCUAUCCGUAAAUCCUUUUAACUUGAAUUCUGAGCUAGAUGUAUACCAAAGUCCAAAAUUUAAAGUUCCAGCAACAUAUCGCAGAAUUCUUCUUGCUGCUCCAAGAUGCUGCUUUGAAGGACUGUGCAUAAACCUGGAAACAACUCCAACAGAGAAGGCUAAAUCUGGCCUUGUGUGACAUAAAUAAAUCAGUCCACCUACUAAGCUUCUGUAUAAUUUCCCAUCUGCAGAUUCUGAACCAUCAUUGACUUGAAACUUCUCAUUAAUAUUCAUUGGCGUUGUGGUGGAGUUACAGUUUAGCAUAUAAAAUCUUCGAAGAAGAUCAAUUGCAUACUUCUUUUGAGAUAUAAAAAUCCCAUCUGCUGUUUGUGUAAUCUCCAUGCCAAGAAAGUAACGAAUCAUCCCCAAAUCUGUCAUCUCAAAAGCUUUCAUCAUAUUUUCUUUAAACUCAAAAAUAAGAGAAGAUGAUGAUCCCAUGUAAAUCAUAUCAUCUACAUACAAACAUACUAAAAGCAAAUCUUUCUCUUGUUUUUUUAGAUAAAGGGUUGGCUCAUUUUCACUUCUAACAAAGCNNNNNNNNNNNNNNNNNNNNNNNNNNNNNNNNNNNNNNNNNNNNNNNNNNNNNNNNNNNNNNNNNNNNNNNNNNNNNNNNNNNNNNNNNNNNNNNNNNNNNNNNNNNNNNNNNNNNNNNNNNNNNNNNNNNNNNNNNNNNNNNNNNNNNNNNNNNNNNNNNNNNNNNNNNNNNNNNNNNNNNNNNNNNNNNNNNNNNNNNNNNNNNNNNNNNNNNNNNNNNNNNNNNNNNNNNNNNNNNNNNNNNNNNNNNNNNNNNNNNNNNNNNNNNNNNNNNNNNNNNNNNNNNNNNNNNNNNNNNNNNNNNNNNNNNNNNNNNNNNNNNNNNNNNNNNNNNNNNNNNNNNNNNNNNNNNNNNNNNNNNNNNNNNNNNNNNNNNNNNNNNNNNNNNNNNNNNNNNNNNNNNNNNNNNNNNNNNNNNNNNNNNNNNNNNNNNNNNNNNNNNNNNNNNNNNNNNNNNNNNNNNNNNNNNNNNNNNNNNNNNNNNNNNNNNNNNNNNNNNNNNNNNNNNNNNNNNNNNNNNNNNNNNNNNNNNNNNNNNNNNNNNNNNNNNNNNNNNNNNNNNNNNNNNNNNNNNNNNNNNNNNNNNNNNNNNNNNNNNNNNNNNNNNNNNNNNNNNNNNNNNNNNNNNNNNNNNNNNNNNNNNNNNNNNNNNNNNNNNNNNNNNNNNNNNNNNNNNNNNNNNNNNNNNNNNNNNNNNNNNNNNNNNNNNNNNNNNNNNNNNNNNNNNNNNNNNNNNNNNNNNNNNNNNNNNNNNNNNNNNNNNNNNNNNNNNNNNNNNNNNNNNNNNNNNNNNNNNNNNNNNNNNNNNNNNNNNNNNNNNNNNNNNNNNNNNNNNNNNNNNNNNNNNNNNNNNNNNNNNNNNNNNNNNNNNNNNNNNNNNNNNNNNNNNNNNNNNNNNNNNNNNNNNNNNNNNNNNNNNNNNNNNNNNNNNNNNNNNNNNNNNNNNNNNNNNNNNNNNNNNNNNNNNNNNNNNNNNNNNNNNNNNNNNNNNNNNNNNNNNNNNNNNNNNNNNNNNNNNNNNNNNNNNNNNNNNNNNNNNNNNNNNNNNNNNNNNNNNNNNNNNNNNNNNNNNNNNNNNNNNNNNNNNNNNNNNNNNNNNNNNNNNNNNNNNNNNNNNNNNNNNNNNNNNNNNNNNNNNNNNNNNNNNNNNNNNNNNNNNNNNNNNNNNNNNNNNNNNNNNNNNNNNNNNNNNNNNNNNNNNNNNNNNNNNNNNNNNNNNNNNNNNNNNNNNNNNNNNNNNNNNNNNNNNNNNNNNNNNNNNNNNNNNNNNNNNNNNNNNNNNNNNNNNNNNNNNNNNNNNNNNNNNNNNNNNNNNNNNNNNNNNNNNNNNNNNNNNNNNUGACGAAUAACCAACAAAAAUACACUUUUCAGACUUGCCAUCUAAUUUUUGUCGUUUUUGUUGGUUAAUUAAGGUAUAGGCAAUACAACCAAAAAUUUUCAGGUGGCUAACAGAAGGCUUCAUACCUGACCAAACCUCAUAAGGUGUACUGUUCCAAACAGCUUUGGUAGGAGAUAUAUUCAACAAAUAAGCUGAUGUAGCUAUUGCUUCCGCCCAUAAAUUGUUUGGAAGAUUUUUGGCCUGCAAUAAACUUCUCGCCAUUUCAACAAUAGUGCGAUUUUUCCGCUCAGCAAUGCCAUUCUGCUCUGGUGUGUAAGGAGCUGUCAAUUCCCUCCGAAUGCCAUUAUUUUCACAAAAUGAAUCAAAAUCAGCAGAUAAGAAUUCUCCUCCCCGGUCUGUGCGAAGAGUUUUGAUGGUUCGGCUGCUUUGCUUUUCAACUAAAACUUUGAACUUCUGAAAAUUUUGGAAAGUUUCUGACUUGGUAACCUGAAAAUACACCCAGCUGAAACGACUACAGUCAUCAGUAAACAACAAAAAAUAUUGACUCCCUCCAAUAGAUUUUGUUUGCAUGGGUCCACACAAAUCUGCAUGUACUAAUUCAAGACAUUCAGAUGCUCUCCAAGACUUUCCAACAAGAAAUGAUUUUCUGCUCUGUUUUCCGUAGAUACAACCUUCACAUAAACCAAUUUGGCCAAUUCUAGGCAACCCAUAAACCAUUUCCUUUUUACUCAACAAUUUUAACCCUUCCACAUUUAGAUGACCAUACCUCAGGUGCCACAAGGUAGAGUCAUUAAGUUCAUUGCCAGCAACUAAAGCACAACUUUCACCUCCAGACACAUCAAGGGGAAACAAAUUAUUUUGAGCCAUAGGAACACUAAUAAUAAUUUUGCCAGAUUUUUUAUCUUUAAUCUCGCAACAAUUAUUAUCAAAUAAAACUAAAUACCCCUUGUUCAUUAAUUGACCAACGCACAGCAAAUUAUUUGUCAAAUUGGGUGCAAAAUAAACAUCAUCUAGUAAUUUCACAUUACCGUUUGACCGGACUGCAAUAGAGCCGAUUCCUUCCACUUUUAUCUUGGUGUCAUUACCAAGCUUUACUUCCUUCUUAAAGUUUUCAUUGAGCGAUGUGAAUGCAGCCUUUUCACCCGACAUGUGGUGUGAGCAACCACUGUCAAUGAACCACACCUCAGUUGGCACUUUCACCUGCACAUCUUGCUCCACCUCUUGGGCCAUGAAUAAUUUUUCUUCUGCCUCAACUUCUGCAUAACUUGCCUUUUCUUUCUUUUUCAGCUUCCAACAAUCUGCUUUCACAUGGCCAUAACCUUUGCAAUGAUAACAUUGAACAUUGCUGCUGUAAUGCCUCUGUUCACCACUUUCUUUAUAAUCAUCAUGCUCAUAAGAUCUUCCUUUGCCUCUUCCUCUUCCUCUGCUACUGCCUCUACCGCUGCGUCCUCCUCUGUUAUGUUCUUUUCCUCUACCAGCCGUUCUUGAGUCACCGAAUGAUGAGGAAGCUUUAACCUGAAAUGCCUUAUCUUCUAUUUUCACCGAAGAUCUGCUGUUCAUUCUUGCUUCAUGAGAUUGCAAUGACCCUUUUACAUCAUCAAAGGUCAGAGUAGACAAGUCCUUGGAUUCUUCUAUAGCAACAGCUACAUGGUCAAAUCUAGAAGUUAAACUCCUUAGAAGUUUCUCAACCACAGUUUGAUCAGUAAUUUUUUCACCAUAUGAUCUCAACUGAUUCACAAUUGUGGACACUCUAGACAUGAAACCUUGUAUCGUCUCAUCUUCGGUCAUCAAUAAAUUCUCAAAUUCACGGCGUAGUGUUUGAAGUUUGACCGUCAAGGAUUUAUUUCCUUGAUAUUCUUUCUGCAAUAUCUCCCAUGCUUCUUUGGAAGUAUUUGCUGCUGCAAUCCGUGAGAAAAUUGAAUCAUGAACAGCUUGUUGAAUGCUGAAUAAAGCUUUGUUAUCUUUUUUUCUGUUCUCUUUGAGUCUUGCUUCAUCAGCAUCAGUAGCUGCAAAACCUUUUUCAACUAAUUCCCAAACAUCUUGGGAUUUGAAGAGUGUCUUCAUUUUGAUGCUCCAAAACUCAUACUUUUCUCCAUCAAAAAUGGGUAUGAGUGGCUGUGUGGAAGAGGAGACGCCAUUUACAACCAUGACCUGAGUUCCUAUUGUAUUUCACUCCCUCACGUGUUUCUCUCUUUCACUCUAUUGAAACUCACACUAUCCAGACAAGAACCUGAACCAGGCUCUGAUACCACAAUGUUGGAUAAAAACAAGAACUUGAUAUCUGCAGUUGUAUCAAGCUAAACAAAGUGAAAGAAACUGAAACUGAAAUACAAUAAAUGAUAGAAAGAAAAUGAAGAAAACCACACUUUUGGAUGAUUAAACACAGAGAGUUGAAGGCUUAUUUAUAGCCAUACUCUAAACAAUAAUAGUAGAUAAAUAUGGCACUAACAGUAACAUGACUUGACCUUAACAAACUAUCAGAUAAAAUAGUAGAACUAAUAGCAAAUAUCUAAACUGAACAGAUUAUUAUUUGAAUCAAUCUUUAACAGAUAAUUCCAAUGAUGAUAUUUUCUCUUACAAAAUGACAAUCUAUUUUUAUAUGUUCAAUUCUUUCGUGAAAAACAGGAUUGUUGGAAAUAUGCAAAGUAGAUAUGUCAGCACAAAAUAGAGAGACAAGAUCUUUAUGAAAACAUAAAUGAGUUUAAAUGAAAAUGGAAAAUUAUUGUCACUUACUACCUGAUGAAAAGGAUAAAGAAAAUAACUCUGACAUAUGGAGCAAUCCUGACAGGAAGAGAAUCAAUAGCAAAGUGAGCCGAAUGGAGAAUAUAAAGCAGCAAAUGAAGUACAAAAACUAGUAGGCAAAAGACUUGAAAACACAUACCAAAAGACAAAAUUUGAUGAAGUAAGAUGAAAUAUUAUCACAGAAGUUUUCACUUCGAAAGGGAGAUGAAGCCAUGAUAUGGAAAAUGCAAAGACAGAUUUUGAUGCAAUGCAAUAGUCUAGAGGAGAACGAUUUUCGAUGCCAGCAAUCAAGAAGAAAUCAAUCAAAAUCAAUAAAUUCAUUUUGUUGGUGUAAGUGUCAGUGUUACUUGAACCACAAAAAUCAAUAGAAUUAAGCAGUCCAGGAGAAAGAAGAAACAAAAAUAAGACCAAAAGAAAGAUUUCAAGUGGACAGGCAGGAAUCACAAUUGAGUUUUAAGGUUAUUUUUGUUUUAGCAAUCCUUUAGUUAUUGUGCUUGCAGCUUGACAUGGAACAAAAUAAAUGAGGAUUGACAGCUUGAUAACAAAGUACAAAUUUAAUUCUGAUAGUUUGAUCAAAAUGAGUAUGACUAACAUACCACAAAAAACCUCAAAUAUACAUAAUUUUGCAAGCAAAAACAGUAAAAUUUCAAAAUUUUCACAAAAGCAUCAGUCUGUUUACAAACAAGCAUUCAUCACAUAUGGAGAAUUUAUGAUUGAAGACAUAACACUAACAACAUUAGCAUAGAGCCCAUUAGUAACAAAAUAGUAAUUUCAUUUCUAAAAGGGCCAGUCUCUACACCUUGUAUUUAGCAACCUCUUCACUCCCUUCCUUGAGAUCAUCCUUGGAGAAAUCUUGAUAAUUCAUUUUAUGCGAAUCUGGGUUAAAUUUGCCCUAAAGUUAAAGACAAGUUUGAUCGUUCAUAAUCAACAUAUUCAAGAUAGUGAUUUUUCCAAUUAUUACUAUAACAGCAAUGCCAAACAGAUCAACUAACAAAAUAGAAAAAUUCUAUUUCAGAAUCUAUAAUAACAUUAUAGCUUUUAAGGACCAAUUACUUGAACUGGCCAUCUAGCAUCGUAAGUAUACCAUGUUGUUCCAAGCUCUUGCAUAGUUCAUCUGUCAACAACUUUAAGCUCUCAACUAUGUCCACAUAUUUCUGAUCAAACAAAACAAAAGGAAAGAGUAAAUAUAUCACUUUGUUCAAAUUCUCUUACUGAAACCUUUAAGAAAAUAAGACAGCAAUUUUGGUUUCUAAUGCAUCAAUGUCCACUCUUAAUUCUUUAAUCUGAUUCACUCCCUCUGGAAAAAGAAAUUUUCAAGAACUUGCAUAACAAGGGAAGGGAACUUAAAAUGAAGCAUAUAGAUGUUAAAUUAUUAUAUAUAAAAUGGCAACUAAAUCAGCAGCACAAAGCAUAUUAUAGGUCAGAAUUUAUAUAUAAAAUUAUUAUAAUUUAAAUGUUAUAAUUCAAUUAUUUCAGCUCUGUUUAUAGCUAAUUUCUUCAAAUUUAGAAUCCUAGUACAAUUUAUAUGCUUUCUACUGAACCAUCUGCAACAAACUUUCAAGAUUAAAUACCUGAAAUUUUUAUGUCGGUUUAAGUUUUUCAAAUCAAGCCUAAAAUAUAUCCCGUCAAUGAACACAUCUAAUGCAAACCAACAAUGCCACAAAUAGUUACUGAACAAAACACUAGUUUCAACAGAACACCAAACACUAAAAUCCCCAAUUCCCAUAUAAUAAAAGAUUGAAAAAAAGAGAAUAACUGAAAUUGAGAAGCAAAAUCCGUGGAAACUGAUGAAUGCUGAUCAGCUUUAGCUAUUGCGUCCAUUUUUAUUGUGAUUUGUGGGAGCAGUCUAUUCUCUCACUGCUGACUUCUAAUAUAUUUUAAACCUAUUACCUUUUUCACGGCUAGCCGGUUAUAAGUGGCUAUCUGAACCAUAGUUAUUAAAUCGGGCGGACCAGACUGGUCAAUCCAGAUAACUGAUGAAUCAGUUUAAAAUCAGAGUUUUCCUUUCAAAGCAUUUAAAGAAUAGAAUCAGAUUGAAACGGCUGAUAUGGUUAAAUAGUUCGAUCUACACAAAUCCAAUUGAUUUAAACUGAUUUUUUAUAUUUUAAUUAUUUUUUAUAUAUUAUAAUUUUUUAAAUUAUAAUUAUUUAAUUAAAUAUAUAUUAUUAAUAUUUUUAUGAUCCAUUAUUCAACCAUUAAGCUAUCGGUUAAACCAUGAACCAUUCACCCAGUCCUUUAGCCGGGUCACAUCUGGACUGGAUUUAACAACACUGAUUUGGACUAAAGUGAAAUCACUGCUACCUGUAACUUCUUUCUACUUGACGGCGUCGCAGCGAGCAUCUCAUAUUUAAGUCUCACUUUUACAUACCUAAUUGAAAAACCCUAAGCCCUAUUUCCUUUUAUUCAUUUUCUCUUCCGUCGAAUACAGUAACGAGACAAGACAGAACUCGGCCCCAACUCCCAAGUCAUCUAGUCGCUCCCCUUCACACUCAAACGAAAGCAUUGAUAAAAUUUGGCUAUAUCUGCGUUUGGUGAGUAAGGAAUUUUCUUUGAUUUGUUUUCUGUUCUCAUUAAUUCAGUGGUUUUAAAAUCGAAUUCAUUGGUAUAAUAGUUCUUUGAUUCUUGCUCCCAAAUUUAUGAUUGUUUUGUUAUUCUCGGUUGAAGUUAUAAACUUGUGAUUCCAAUUGCACAGUAUGAAUCUGAGAGAUGGCCUUUUGGAUCAUAAAAUCAGAGUUGGUUUACAAUAUAGCUGUUGAUUAAUGAAAUUCGGUGUGCUGUUGCUUUCAGCUUUAUUUUGCUUGUGAGACUUUUAUUCGAAUCGCUUCCAUGAAUGUUUUGGUGAAGGAAUUCCUUGAAACUUUUGAAAGGAAAGGAUUUUUUUUCUUUGUUUUGUGUUGGGGGGUUCAGUUAGUAUAGCUCAGAUUUCGUACAGAAGUAGGGAUUAUAUUAGUCAGUUCUGGAAUGGUUUGGAUUUUGUGAAUGACAAAAGGUUGUCGGAUGGGGCAAUUUUUAUUCCCGUUGCUAUUCUAUUCCUAUCUUCUGUUUUUUAAUUAGAUAAUAGUAUUUUACAAAGAAAAUAGAGAAAAGAUCAUGGCUUGAAUUUACAUUGAUUAUUGUGAUUUUGCUGUUUCAUGUGUUGAGUUUCAUGCCAUGGAAUUUAUUCCUUCUUUUUAUAGUCUGUUAUCAUGUUCAUAUCGGACCUCUUUUUUCAUGGGUUUAUGCUGUUAGGAUUAUAUUGUUAAAACUUUUUAAAUGGCUUUUUUGAAUGAAUAUAUUACAUCAUAAAUCAAAUGUUUUGUUAUUCCAGAAUUUGGGUUAUCAAUCACAAUGCAGUCUGGUGAAGCCCCUUCUUCAAUGGAAGUAGAAAAGGUUAUAGAUGAAACAUCUUUGCCGGCAAAGCCAAAGUUUGAGCCUUUGAAGGCUCAUGAGAUGUCUGAUGGUCGAGUUCAAUUUAGGAAGGUUUCGGUUCCACCACAUAGGUAUUCNNNNNNNNNNNNNNNNNNCACUCCUGUAUAUGAGCAAAUGAAGAUUGAUAUCCGUAUGAACCUCAAGGGUAGAAAGGUUGAAUUAAAAACCAGAUCUGAUACACCAGAUGUUAGUAACCUGCAGAAAUGUGCAGAUUUUGUACAUGCCUUCAUGCUAGGCUUUGAUGUUAUAGAUGCUAUUGCACUACUGCGAUUGGAUGAACUAUAUGUGGACUCUUUCGAAAUCAAAGAUGUUAAACCCCUUAGAGGUGAGCACUUGUCUCGUGCCAUUGGAAGACUCU
This 35285-nucleotide long non-coding RNA is filed under the name Jatropha curcas. Its description in RNAcentral is "long non-coding RNA (JCUR_LNC000649)". The record is from RNAcentral. Lineage: Eukaryota; Viridiplantae; Streptophyta; Magnoliopsida; Malpighiales; Euphorbiaceae.